RNAcentral lists this ribosomal RNA (511 nucleotides) under uncultured bacterium. RNAcentral's name for it is "partial 16S ribosomal RNA". The record is from RNAcentral.
GGAGUUAGCCGGUGCUUCUUCUGUGAGUGAUGUCCUUCCUGCCGGUUAUUGACCCGCAGGCCUUCUUCCUCACUGAAAGUGCUUUACAACCCGAAGGCCUUCUUCACACACGCGGCAUGGCUGGAUCAGGGUUGCCCCCAUUGUCCAAUAUUCCCCACUGCUGCCUCCCGUAGGAGUCUGGGCCGUGUCUCAGUCCCAGUGUGGCUGAUCAUCCUCUCAGACCAGCUACGGAUCGUCGCCUUGGUGAGCCGUUACCUCACCAACCAGCUAAUCCGACAUAGGCUCAUCCGAUAGCGCGAGGCCCGAAGGUCCCCCGCUUUCCCCCGUAGGGCGUAUGCGGUAUUAGCCUGGGUUUCCCCAGGUUAUCCCCCACUACCGGGCAGAUUCCUAUGCAUUACUCACCCGUCCGCCGCUCGCCACCAGGGAGCAAGCUCCCCGUGCUGCCGCUCGACUUGCAUGUAUUAGCCUCGCCGCCACGCGUUCAUCUGAGCCAGAAUACGAACCCGUACGA